Molecule: ribosomal RNA, 540 nt
Filed under: Novosphingobium sp. INBio2556H
Lineage: Bacteria; Pseudomonadati; Pseudomonadota; Alphaproteobacteria; Sphingomonadales; Sphingomonadaceae
Description: bacterial SSU rRNA
Rfam family: Bacterial small subunit ribosomal RNA
Source: RNAcentral
UUCGGAAAUAACAGUGGAGAAAUUACUGCAUAAUACCGGAUGAUGUCUUCGGACCAAAGAUUUAUUGCCCAAGGAUGAGCCCGCGUAGGAUUAGCUAGUUGGUGGGGUAAUGGCCUACCAAGGCGACGAUCCUUAGCUGGUCUGAGAGGAUGAUCAGCCACACUGGGACUGAGACACGGCCCAGACUCCUACGGGAGGCAGCAGUGAGGAAUAUUGGACAAUGGGCGAAAGCCUGAUCCAGCAAUGCCGCGUGAGUGAUGAAGGCCUUAGGGUUGUAAAGCUCUUUUACCAGGGAUGAUAAUGACAGUACCUGGAGAAUAAGCUCCGGCUAACUCCGUGCCAGCAGCCGCGGUAAUACGGAGGGAGCUAGCGUUGUUCGGAAUUACUGGGCGUAAAGCGCGCGUAGGCGGUUACUCAAGUCAGAGGUGAAAGCCCGGGGCUCACACCCCGGAAUCUGCCUUUGAAACUAGGGUGACUAGAAUCUUGGAGAGGUCAGUGGAAUUCCGAUGUGUAGACGGUGAAAUUCGUAGAUAUUCGGAA